UCCUCAACGUAAGUCGAUAUUCCAUUGUCUGCUCAUUUUUGUUCUACUUGUAAUUCUAAUCGUGUCUUUUUCAGUUGGUGCAUAAUGCAUCGGUAUUAGAGAUAGGAGUCCGGGGACCAUUGGAACUUGAUCGGACAUGGACUAAUCAGGUUGUAAAUGCAAUUGCUGAUAAGGAAGUCACCGACGAGCUUCUUCAAGCGACGAUCGAUCGGAAAAAGAAAUACAAGGAAGAAAUCUCCUGCUUGAAGGUCGAGU
This 255-nucleotide long non-coding RNA is filed under the name Elaeis guineensis (African oil palm). RNAcentral's name for it is "long non-coding RNA (EGUI_LNC030488)". The record is from RNAcentral. Lineage: Eukaryota; Viridiplantae; Streptophyta; Magnoliopsida; Arecales; Arecaceae.